UUUUUGACCUUGAUGUGGCAUAUCUCUUUAGCCAGAGAAUUGUGAUUUGGGCGCCAUUUUCCUUCUUCCUAUAUACGCUUUUCUUCAAUUUGGUAACCUAAUCAAUUCUCUCAAUCAAUUGAAGACAAAUUGAUUUCUCUUUAAAUCUCAAAACCUAAUCAAAUUGAUUUCUGCAGGCUAUCAUCUUUCACCCACAUUCAAUUUUACAAACCCUAAAUCUCAUCUACGGCUUCAUCUUUAGCGAUUGUACUUGGCCAUACCCACUUCAGAAAUCCCUAAAACUCAAUCAUUCGAACUCUCAUCUAGCUUUCAUUGAAUUCAGUGCUAAGAACCCAAAAUCUAUAGAACCGGGCGAACAUUGAUAUGAUAGUGGCCUAUAUUAGGUUGGCCAUAGUUCAAGCUGGAGGUUUUCAGAUCAUCUUUAUGCUUUUGAGGUAUACACAGAGAUAAAGUACUUGGGGUUGGGACCUUCUUUUAAAAAGAUAGAUGAUUUAUUGUUUUUUCCCAUGUUUAAAGAUUGCAUUUAUCUUGCUCUCCAAAUAAUUUUUUUUCUAAAUCUGAGUUUUUUCACAAUAAAAAGCUGCCUUUCCAACUGUUACAAAAGUUUGUUGUGGUGUGUCGAUGAAGUUGCGAGAUGGUGGUCAUUGGGACUGCCUUAUUAAUCUUGGUGCCUUUGAUUAUCCUCUUAUCACGCAAGAAAGUAAUUAACUAAUUUGUUAUUUUGUUUUGAAGUUUUGUUAUUUUGUUUUGAGUUUUUCUUAAUUUGCAACAUUGCGUUUAUAUUUUUGUGUGUGUUUCAGAUCUGAUUCAUACAUUUUCUUCACUACAGAGAGAUUUUAAUUUUAUUGAUCAUACAAGUAUUCCCGGAUGGAAAGAAUAAGGUUCUUAAUGUUUUCGUUACUUUUAGUGUGUUAUGUGUUGUUUUUUUGGGCUGAUGAUUUGUAAUUUGGGAUGAUCUUAUAUGAGUUUUGUUUAGAUAAAGUUGAUUGGUAAAGUUUGAGAUGCAUUGUUUGAAAGAAGCAAUCUGAAUCAUCUCUCUCAGAUCCUAUAUCGCAUAUGCUAAUGAUUUUUAAUCGACUUUGGUGAUUCGACUUGGUCACACUUUGCCACAAACGGGUCAAAUGGUUAAAUUUUCAUGGGCUUUUGGAAAUAAUGUCCAAGAAUUCAAUGAUUUGAAACGAGGAUCCUGCACUUCGUCAGGAAAUCGACCUUGAAGAUGAAAGAGUUGCAGGCACAUUGCAUUCUGUAUAGAUUGUGGAGUUUUAAUUGUAAAGGUUUACACCUGUGUUGCAAAACUCAAAUUAUAUGGCCUUUUGCUACAUCUUGCCGUAUAGCAUAGGCAUUAGGUAAAAAGAGUUAUCCGAUGAGAAACCAAAGGGCAAGGCAACCAUACAUUAUCAGCUUCGGCUUGCAGGUGGUAACUUUGUUCUAAGUGGUGACAAUCAUGGGAGAAGGAUAUCAACAUGAAAGAAAUGGAACAACAGUUGCAUGAGCAUGUGGGUCUACUAAGACAGAAUGAAUUAAUAAGAAUAAAUGCCAAGAAGGAGCUUAAAGAAAUGGAACUACAGUCACGAUUGGAUUGGCCUCAUAUGAUGAGGUAACAUUUCACAAUAAUAAUCAAAUAGAUAUAAUAAUUUACUACUUAUAUAUUUUUUUGGAACAAGGUGACUCUAUAUCACUGAGACAACCUUUAUCCACAUGCCAUUAAUCUCUUUUUCAAAAUUUGGAUCUCAAACCUUUUAUUUGGACUUUGUUUUAUAAGCAUUUAACGCCCCGUUUGCGGUAUGCGCCUAUAAUGUAUAUAUGUGUGGGCGUUCGGGGUGCAAAAGUGAAAGUACACUAAUUUUAACAUUAUUUUACUAAUUUCGUGAAAGUAACGUUAAAAAGGGAGAUGGUUAAUUAUGCAUCAUGUGGUGGCGUUGAUAGCCGAAAGACAAGGGGGUACAUGCACUAAUCGGCCUUUGUCUCAAUUGUUGAGUGUUAUGUGCCUUAUGUCCAAAGCUUGACGCAAAACUACUAUUUAGCCAGGGGUCUCACUGGAAGCAGCCGCUUUAUUCCUAUGGGGUAGAGGUAAGGCGGUCUACAUCUUACCUUUCCUAUACCCUACCUUAGAUUUGCUAUUGGCGGGAUUUACUAAGUAUGAUGAUGAUGAUGAUCAUUUUAUACGCAUUUAAAAUGUCAAUGUGGGUUAAUCGAUUUAUUGCUUUAGUUUAUAUAUGCAUCUAAAAUGUCAAUCAUUCUUUAUUCUUUAUGAAUUCCUUCUUCAAUUUAUUAUUUUAGGUUAAGAAUAACUAUUUUAUAACAAGUGAAAAAUAUGUAUAAUGAAGCUUACAAAGUAUCAUGUGAAAAAUAUGUUAUAUUUUUCCUAGGCUAUGGCCUCUGCACCUAUCUUUAUUCUUUCAUGCUUGACUAUGUAUAAUGAACUAUGUAUAUUGUCAUAAUUUCACAUAAAAGAAAUAGCGAUAUCUAAUUCUCUUGGUGUUAAUGAGCUGGUGAUUCCUGCAAUACCUGAACUUUACAAAACAUGGACCAAAGUGCUUGGCUUCAAGCAACUUGAUGAAUCGUCGAGGCAUGCAAUGAAGGUGCAGGUGAGUUAUGAUAUAUUGUAUUUUAUCUGCUCUUGAGUUGCCAAAACGGGUGGGAUAGGUAAUGGUCACUGACUCUGACUCUAAGCUGGUAACUUUCGGUAAGACAGAAAUGGACCGGGUUGGGUCAGAUGGGCUGACUUGCCAGCAUUUUUUGGAUGCUAUUAGUUAUUACUGUAUUAAAUAUGAUUACAAAAGCUAUAUUAUCAAUGUAAUCCAAAUUUUGAAUAAAACAAUUUUGGUUAUAAUAAUUUAAAAAAACUUUUGACGACUAAUGAGAUUUAACCGUUUUCUUUUUAUUUACUUGCUCUCAGUUAUUUUCAUCUGUUAUCGUCAACUAAUUUGUUUAGGAAAACCGGCCAUAGUUGCUACCUGUAGGCUGUAGCUGAUUUUAGUUAUAAUUGAUUAGCAACUUUUUAUACAUGAACUAGGAGAGGCAAACAAGUGAGUAAAAUUUUUAAAUUUCUUUUUUUUUGUUGUGAAAAAUAUUUAGUAUUUUCAAGGAAUGAAGUAGUUGAUAAGUUAAUUAUAUUAGGUUGAGAUAAAGAUGGCUGAGCCGAAAAGGUUGGUGUCGAUUUCUCAUACGACAACCAUUCACGUUGUGGUAGUGUUAUCAAGUCAUACGGUGGUGGAUUUGGUAGGGGUUGGUGGUUAUGGCGGAAAAUCAGAGAGGGUAUAAUGAUUAUGGCAGUGGUUAUCACAGUUAUGUGGGAGGUUAUAAUGGUGGUUCUACAGUGGUUAUGGUGGAUAUGGGUAUGGGUUUGGGUUUGGUGGAUAUGGUUACGGCGGUGAUGGAUAUGUAGUUGGUUUUAGUGGUUAUGGAGGGAAUGCUGACUAUGGUGGAGGUCGGGGUUAUGGUACUGGUAGUGGAGGAGGUGGUGGUGUUGGUGGCAAAUGAUUUCAUAAGGGAGCUUGUGCUGCUGCUGGAUAUGGAUAUGGAUGGUAGUAAAGGGUAUGAUAAUGACAAUGGUGGCAGUGGUGGUGGAAGGCAUCAUCCUUAUCGGAAGUGAGAUGAUAUGAUAAUAGCAACUUAUUAUAUCAUCAAAGUUCGAGGACUUUGUAGCUUUUGUCAUCUGCUUUGUUCUAUGUGAAUCUUCUUGACCUGUGAUCUAUUAGUAACUUAGAAACUGAGUCAUGGAGUCGAAUUUGUUACCUACAUAACUAUCUUCUGUAUUGCCCCUAGAUCAUUUACAAUUAUAAAUGUAAAUGAUUUAUUUUAGUUUUUGUACAUCAUUUUUUUUGUUGA
This is a long non-coding RNA of Helianthus annuus (common sunflower), 3831 nucleotides long. RefSeq lists it as uncharacterized. Lineage: Eukaryota; Viridiplantae; Streptophyta; Magnoliopsida; Asterales; Asteraceae. The transcript has 7 exons. The record is from RefSeq and is a predicted model, not a curated record.